Molecule: ribosomal RNA, 245 nt
Filed under: uncultured bacterium
Lineage: Bacteria
Description: partial 16S ribosomal RNA
Rfam family: Bacterial small subunit ribosomal RNA
Source: RNAcentral
GACGAACCGUGCGAACGUUGUUCGGAAUCACUGGGCUUAAAGGGCGCGUAGGCGGGCUGGCAAGUCAGGGGUGAAAGCCCACGGCUCAACCGUGGAAGUGCCUUUGAUACUGCCGGCCUUGAGGGAAGUAGGGGCGUGCGGAACUUCCGGUGGAGCGGUGAAAUGCGUAGAUAUCGGAAGGAACACCGGUGGCGAAAGCGGCGCGCUGGACUUCUACUGACGCUGAGGCGCGAAAGCCAGGGGAG